Long non-coding RNA from Eurytemora carolleeae, 263 nucleotides. RefSeq lists it as uncharacterized. Lineage: Eukaryota; Metazoa; Arthropoda; Copepoda; Calanoida; Temoridae. The transcript has 4 exons. The record is from RefSeq and is a predicted model, not a curated record.
UAUUGGAUUUCCAGGAGAAAUAUCAAAUCUUCCAGAUAAUAAAAUGCCUCCGAGAGAUUUAUUUUUGUUAAUACAAUGUGAUCACAUGAUCAGAUCAUAUGGUACUUAUGGCUUAUGGGGAGGAUUAUGGAGCACAGGAACCGUUAUGUUUGCCUACACUGGCCGACAUAUUUUAGAUGAAAAAUGGUCUCUUCGUGUCAACAGUUCAAGUUGGGAAGCAGUUGACCUUAAUAGAUUUAUGAAAUCAACAACAACAACAACAA